RNAcentral lists this ribosomal RNA (1539 nucleotides) under Triticum aestivum (bread wheat). RNAcentral's name for it is "partial small subunit ribosomal RNA". Lineage: Eukaryota; Viridiplantae; Streptophyta; Magnoliopsida; Poales; Poaceae. The record is from RNAcentral.
AUGCACAUGAUGGCGAGGCGAGAGCGAGAUGUGGAUUUUUUCUUCAAGUACUUGGUAGACGAGCAUGGCCAUCUGAAGGGACUGUUCUGGGCUGAUAGUCAAUCGCGACUUUACUACGAGGCUUUCAGAGACGUCAUUGUUUUCGAUAGCACAUACAGAACCAACAAAUACAAUCUGCCAUUCGUGCCUUUUGUCGGGUUGAAUCACCACCGCAGCACUGUUAUAUUUGGUUGUGGUAUAAUUUCUCAUGAAACAAGCCAGGCAUACGAGUGGAUGUUGCGGACCUUUUCUGAUUGCAUGGCACAGAAGCAUCCGAUAUCUAUGAUCACAGAUGGGGACCUUGCAAUGCAGAGAGCAAUAAGAGUGGCCUGGCCAGACUCAAACCAUAGACUAUGUAUAUGGUACAUUCAGCAGAACAUUGUACGCCAUCUGCAUGAUGACGACGUAAAGGAGGAAUUCAGAUCUUUCAUUUAUGAUACUUCUUCCAUUGAAGAGCAUGAGAUAAAAUGGAUACAAUUCUUACAACGGAAUAAAGUAACCAGUGAGGAGUCUUGGCUGCAUCAGAUGUAUCAGAUGAGAAAGUUGUGGUGUGUUCCAUAUCUUGAGGGGCGUUGUUUCCUAGGAUUGAGCAGCAAUCAGAGGAGUGAGAGCUUGAACUCUAUGCUACAUACGCAUCUUGAGGGUAAGAUGUCGUUGUUUGAAAUGCUAGAGCACUAUGAGUGUUGCCUUGCGUUGCGACGGAUUAACGAAGCUCUCCAUGACGUCGAAGCCUUGCAGUCUGUUCCAUUUACAGAGGAAAAUGCUUCGCCGCUUGAGAAACACGCCGCAACAGUUUUCACACCUAGUGUCUUUAAGAUGGUCUUAUGGAGCAUAGAUGCUGUCAGCAAAUGUCAGAUUAGAGAGAUACUAGAUGGAUUAGAAGAUCCCACUUAUGUUGUGUCCAAGCAGGAAAGAAUGGAUAAAAAGUUUGGAGUGUGCAUUGAAGAGCAAGGAGGUCUUUUGCACAGGGUGAGUUGUUCUUGCCGUAAGCUGGAAUGCGCAGGCACACCAUGUUCCCACAUUUUUUACAUAUUGGGGAUUUUAAAACAAGCAAUUCUGCCCGGUUGUUGCGUUCCCACUAGGUGGACCAUGAAUGCAAAAUGUGCAUACGCACCUACCAGAAAAAACCAGAUGUAUGACUAUUCGGUAAGCCUGCAGAGGUACCGCGAGUUGCGGAAUUGUAGUCACGCCGCAAGUUUCCAGGCAUGCCACUCUGAUGAGGACUAUCACCGUCUAAAGAUGCUUUUGCAAGCACAACAUCAUGGCAAGCAAUCAAGUUUUGAACAAGCUGACAGCAAGGAGUCAACUAAUGCUCAGCAUAACAGCAUUAGGUUUGGCCCGUUGAUGCCGCACUCGCAGAAAGUUGAUAAGGUUCUGGAUCCCGUGCAUGUGCCAGGACGAGGUGCACCGAAGAAAAGGCUGCAGGCAAAGACAAAGAAGUCAAGAUCACAAAAUAUUUGUGGCUAUUGCAAGAAACCAGGUCACAAUCGACGUAAAUGC